AAUUUUAUAACGUAUAAUGUUUAUCAUAAUAUAAUUUUAUAAUGUAUAUUGUUUAUCAUAGCAUAAUUUUAUAAUUUAUAAUGUUUAUCAUAGUAUAAUUUUACAAUUUAUAAUGCUUACCACAGUAUGAUCAUUGUAUCAGCAGAAAUCGCACAAAAUCUUGAAAAUCUUUCUAACCGAACAAUACUGGUAGAGGUGCAUGUUCGCUUCUAGCCACGGUUAUAUUUAUAAAUCUCAAUGCGAAGAACAGGGAGCUGCAGUUGUUUACGCGUCUUGUUUGAAAAUCGCUUCGGUCAACAGAGAUACAGCUGAUUUCCUAAUAUUCCCUUAAAAAGACGCACAAAUGCAUUUCGGUAUAGUAAUCUCUGAAUUAAAAUAUAAAAUUUCAUAAUUUCUUAGAAGUUCUUGGUAUUACUUAUUUCAUUAAUUGGGAUUAAUUGGAAGUAUUAUUUAUUCCAGUAAUUAGAAGUAUUAUUUAUUUCAUUAAUUGGAAUUAAUUACUGAGCGACGUUAACUUGUAAAGAAAAAGUUGUUCAUAAUCAAGCCCCCCAUAACAUACUCCAAGAUCAUCAUUUAUUUCAUAUAAAUAUUUCACAUAUUGAUAUCAAAUCAAUAAAUGAUGACAGUCAUCAUCAAUCAUCAUCGACAAAAAAUAUCAUUUAUAAUGUUAAUUUACAUAUAAUUCUCUUUUUUAAAAAUUUUCUAAAAAAACCCAGGUUAGGGACACACGAACUUUGGUUAACAAUUUGUCUCGCGAAUUUCCAUUUCGCAGCGCGAAACGCCGGGAAUUAAUGGAUUGCUAGAAAUAACUCAAACUGCCGCCGGUUCUCGGUCUGCAGCGCGCCGUUAAGCACGGUUAACGAGAAAAAUUUGUGCGAUGAAGCGGGCGACGAGGGCCGCGUGGGUGAGAACGCCGAUGCGUCUUUUGUCUUCGUUCGCCCAGUCGUUCGAGGGACCAGCGGUGAUUUUUCGUUCAAACGGAGACCCGCUGAUUGACCCUUUGUGCUCGGAUGUUCUUUGUUAUUAGAAGUAUUCGACGUUUUCCAGUAAGGUGAAAAUGUUUAAAAAUUAAUUCAAGUGGCAGUUCACUAUUUUCAAGACAUCAGACUGUCAUACCCAGAUAUGAAGUCAACAAUGUAUAGUUGAAACAAAUUAAUGAAAAAAUAUAGCAGGUCCAAUCGUCAACCUGUUGCAUGUCAAACUGUUGACUCAGUCUACAAACUAUGAAAGAGGAUGCACUCAGAAGUGGCAGCAGGGUGCAAACACGAGUCAACAUACAAAGGAUAAAGGCGAUAGAAAAAGAAGACGUGCAUAGGGUAACAGUGAAAAUAAAAAAAAGGCAAGUCACACAAUCACUUAGUUUAUAGAGUAAAUUAUAUAUCUCCCUCAAUCUUAAACAUAUUAAGUCCACAGAAAUAUUUAAAGCCUGCUUAUGAGUGACGCUGGAGACAUCUCGUACAUAAUAUAUAUACAUUACAAUCGUAUACAUUUAAACCGAAUCCUAAACACAUUAGCAAAUGUCAAAACGUUCCAAGACGCAGUCUAAGACCACAAAAGAGGACGCAUUCAGAAUUACUAUCAAAGUGCAAACGCAACAUCCAAAGAACGAAGGCGAAGAGAAGUAAACAUACACAGAAUAACAUUGUAAAUAAAAAAAA
Nomia melanderi (Alkali bee) is the source of this 1658-nucleotide non-coding RNA. The record is from RefSeq and is a predicted model, not a curated record. NCBI's taxonomy places the organism in Eukaryota, Metazoa, Arthropoda, Insecta, Hymenoptera, Halictidae.